AACGAACGCUGGCGGCAGGCCUAACACAUGCAAGUCGAGCGAGGACUUCGGUUCUAGCGGCGGACGGGUGAGUAACGCGUGGGAAUGUGCCCUUCUCUACGGAAUAGCCCUGGGAAACUGGGAGUAAUACCGUAUACGCCCUUUUGGGGAAAGAUUUAUCGGAGAAGGAUCAGCCCGCGUUGGAUUAGGUAGUUGGUGGGGUAAUGGCCUACCAAGCCGACGAUCCAUAGCUGGUUUGAGAGGAUGAUCAGCCACACUGGGACUGAGACACGGCCCAGACUCCUACGGGAGGCAGCAGUGGGGAAUCUUAGACAAUGGCGGCAACCCUGAUCGAGCCAUGCCGCGUGAGUGAUGAAGGCCUUAGGGUUGUAAAGCUCUUUCAGCUGGGAAGAUAAUGACGGUACCAGCAGAAGAAGCCCCGGCUAACUCCGUG
This 433-nucleotide ribosomal RNA is filed under the name uncultured bacterium. RNAcentral describes it as "partial 16S ribosomal RNA". It matches the Rfam family "Bacterial small subunit ribosomal RNA", at positions 29 to 507 of the family's 1533-position model. The record is from RNAcentral.